RNAcentral lists this non-coding RNA (813 nucleotides) under Pan troglodytes (chimpanzee). The record is from RNAcentral. Lineage: Eukaryota; Metazoa; Chordata; Mammalia; Primates; Hominidae.
AGAUGAGCCGCGGGAAAGGAGACGAGGGGCGGUGGCCAGGCGGUUGCCCUGACAACGGGGAACCGACCGACUCUUCCCGGUAGGGAGAGGCGAUGGCGGAAUUACUCCUCUAAUGUCAAGGUAUUCUAAUCACAGAAUUACUGGAGCAUCAAGAAGUGCCUGCAUGCUUGGAAGGGCUUCCAGGCAGAUGAACACACCUCAGCACCGGGUGGCAUUUUCCCAGGGUGCAACCCGGAGCGGCUCUGGGUCACACUGACAAGCCUCUCCAACUCCCCAGGCUGGGUUGGGUGCUCCUCCCUCUCAUCCCACAGCGCUAUGUCUCAUGUCUUCUGGAAAACUUGCCAAUCCCUAGUGUAAGUGUGACUGGUCUAUUGUGAGCACCUAUUGUUCAGGGACCUCUGUUUACCUGAGGCCAGGACAAGGGCCUGGAAUGUGAGCAGGAGCAAGGGAGUGCUCGGGAAAUGGAAACAAUGAAUGAAUCAAUCAGUCAAUCAGACAACAGGGUUAACAAUUUCCAGAGACAGCCCGUACAUAGAAGGAAUGUUUACUGAAAAAAAUGAAGAGGGGUCAGGGCAAGGCGAGGAGCGAGAAGCACCCCCAAGGAAACAGAGAAGACCAGUACAACUGUACCUCUUUGCCAGCUGCACCAUCCGUACCAGUCUCCUGGGGUGGAAGUGUCCAGCGCAGAGACUGCCACACUGCAAGAUGAAGGGGCUGGACACACGGAAGAGAGAGGCGGAACCCUGCACCCCCUCGACCUCAGCCCUACUGAGUCUCCAAUGGGGCCACGCUUCUGAGUGCACCUCCCCCUGU